This 652-nucleotide ribosomal RNA is filed under the name uncultured bacterium. RNAcentral describes it as "bacterial SSU rRNA". It matches the Rfam family "Bacterial small subunit ribosomal RNA", at positions 202 to 842 of the family's 1533-position model. The record is from RNAcentral.
GAAAGAUGGUUCUGCUAUCACUCUUGGAUGGACCUGCGGUGCAUUAGCUAGUUGGUAAGGUAACGGCUUACCAAGGCAAUGAUGCAUAGCCGAGUUGAGAGACUGAUCGGCCACAUUGGGACUGAGACACGGCCCAAACUCCUACGGGAGGCAGCAGUAGGGAAUCUUCCACAAUGGACGAAAGUCUGAUGGAGCAACGCCGCGUGAGUGAAGAAGGGUUUCGGCUCGUAAAGCUCUGUUGGUAGUGAAGAAAGAUAGAGGUAGUAACUGGCCUUUAUUGACGGUAAUUACUUAGAAAGUCACGGCUAACUACGUGCCAGCAGCCGCGGUAAUACGUAGGUGGCAAGCGUUGUCCGGAUUUAUUGGGCGUGAAGCGAGUGCAGGCGGUUCAAUAAGUCUGAUGUGAAAGCCUUCGGCUCAACCGGAGAAUUGCAUCAGAAACUGUUGAACUUGAGUGCAGAAGAGGAGAGUGGAACUCCAUGUGUAGCGGUGGAAUGCGUAGAUAUAUGGAAGAACACCAGUGGCGAAGGCGGCUCUCCGGUCUGCAACUGACGCUGAGGCUCGAAAGCAUGGGUAGCGAACAGGAUUAGAUACCCUGGUAGUCCAUGCCGUAAACGAUGAGUGCUAAGUGUUGGGAGGUUUCCGCCUCUCA